This is a long non-coding RNA of Serinus canaria (Common canary), 1621 nucleotides long. RefSeq lists it as uncharacterized. The record is from RefSeq and is a predicted model, not a curated record. The transcript is spliced from 4 exons. Lineage: Eukaryota; Metazoa; Chordata; Aves; Passeriformes; Fringillidae.
ACGUGGCAGCUCCUCACACCCCAAGCAGGAGGGCAAUGAACACCAAAAGCAGUCCCUACCACCAACAUUGGUAGAGUUGGUAAGACUGAGCUGGAACUAUAGCUCAAAUAGUGGCUCUUCAGUCUUUUAAUGGCAAGAAUGUAGAACUGACUGUGUGACUCAUCCAAGAGCUUUGACCAUCUACUGUGACUCAGCCAAUGGAAACACUCGUGCUGUCUGUUGCUUGGUAUUGCCAUGUGCAUAAUUGUAAGACGUUCACGUCCCGUGUCCUCACCCAGGAAGGACACUGGGUUGGCAGUGGGUCUUCUGCAGUGAGCUGCCUGCACUCUCCUUGCUUUGGCCAUGGGUGUAGCACACGUGGUGGGAAGAAGCAUUUUGGCUGAAGGAAGAAGAGCAGAACAAGUAACAGGAUCCCUGCUUGAAUGGGCUGAUUUUGCUCAGAGGUGCCAGUUACAGCAGUCCAAUGAAGUACAGUUCAGCACAAUGGCUUUGCCCAGGACGUUAAGGAGACUGAUGUAAAUGAUUCACAUCCCAUGGAUUUGCUUAGGAGACCACCACUUCAGGUGAGACAUCCCAGAACAGGGGAGAAGCUGGAAAAUCAGAUAUACAGGAUGGCACAAGACCUGUUGGUCCCGUAUGUCCAGCCUAUGGGAGUGACCCAGAUAAUUCCAUGGGACUUUUUCUUUCCCAUCAUGAAAAAAUGGCUUUUUAGAUCUGAACUGGCUUAUUAGAUCUGAACUGCUACUUGACCUCUGUUCUGCACCUGAUCUUCUUUGCUCUCUUCAUCAGCUUCCAGGUGGCUGCUGCAUGAUGAUUUAUCCUUGCCUUGCUGCCCAAAGUUUGUGCUUCAGGGCUACAAUCACUACUGCCACCUCCUAUUUAAACCACUUAAACCAAGCUGAAUGAAUUGGCUUGGCGCAAACUAUGGAAUGCUGACACAAACUGCUGCGUGGGCUGGCUCAAAAGGGUGCUUAACACUAGAGGAGGGAAGGGGUGGGAAGAGGAUGGAGAACACCACAGAUGAGCAGCUGCAGUGGUAACACCCAGCAGCACAGCUGGAUCUGAAGAAGGAUGUUUGUCCACAGCCUCUGAGAGCAAUUAGACUGGAGCCUUGGGGGGUCUGGCACAUCUGAGAACAAGUGCUACUUAUUUUGUUAGCUAAAUAGGGAUUUGGAUAGCUGUCCUUUUUUCCACAUUGCAACAUUCAUGACUUCUGUGUGCUGUGUAAGCAUUGAAGAUGCUUUAAUUAUUGGUAGAAGCUCUUUCUUUAAAUGUUGUUUCUCACUUGAGAAGACAAAUGAUACUGAUCUCUUAGGUGAAGUAGGGGCAAGGAUAGUUUUGCUGCUGUUUCUUUUCUUCAAAAUCAGUCUAAACUCAAAAUGACACAAAAUUUCAGAAGAAUUCAGCUUUGGAGCAAUUUUUUUCCCCCUGAUUUCUGCAUUAUCCUUUCUUUUUGAGGUUCCCUGUGACUGCUGUAUUCAAGAAACCUGUCCUUCAAUUGCCUCCAAUGCCUGUGACCCUUUCUGGCUUAACCCCAGGAAAAGGUCAAAGGGACAAUGCUAUACAUCCUUGAGCAAUGUUAUCUACAUUUAUAACAUUCUAGGCCAUCUUCACUGUUUCU